GAUGAAGAACGUAGCGAAAUGCGAUAAGUAAUGUGAAUUGCAGAAUUCAGUGAAUCAUCGAAUCUUUGAACGCACAUUGCGCCCGCCAGUAUUCUGGCGGGCAUGCCUGUUCGAGCGUCAUUUCAACCAUCAAGCCCCAGGCUUGCGUUGGGGACCUGCGGCUGCCGCAGGCCCUGAAAACCAGUGGCGGGCUCGCUGUCACACCGGGCGUAGUAGAUUUUAUCUCGCUCAGGGCGUGCUGCGGGUUCCGGUCGUUAAAAAGCCUUUUUUACCCAAGGUUGACCUCGGAUCAGGUAGGAAGACCCGCUGAACUUAAGCAUAUCAAUAAGCGGAGGA
RNAcentral lists this unclassified non-coding RNA (336 nucleotides) under soil metagenome. RNAcentral's name for it is "partial contains 5.8S ribosomal RNA, internal transcribed spacer 2, and large subunit ribosomal RNA". The stretch from base 1 to 120 matches the Rfam family "5.8S ribosomal RNA", at positions 35 to 154 of the family's 154-position model. The record is from RNAcentral.